GGUGACUGUAGCUCAGUUGGUAGAGCCCUGGAUUGUGAUUCCAGUCGUCGUGGGUUCAAGUCCCAUCAGUCACCCCAU
RNAcentral lists this transfer RNA (78 nucleotides) under Teredinibacter turnerae T7901. Its description in RNAcentral is "tRNA-His". It matches the Rfam family "tRNA". Rfam says of the family: Transfer RNA (tRNA) molecules are approximately 80 nucleotides in length. Their secondary structure includes four short double-helical elements and three loops (D, anti-codon, and T loops). Lineage: Bacteria; Pseudomonadati; Pseudomonadota; Gammaproteobacteria; Cellvibrionales; Cellvibrionaceae. The record is from RNAcentral.